UCAAGCUACUAAGGGCAUACGGCGGAUGCCUAGGCGCCAUCAGCCGAUGAAGGACGCGGUAAGCUGCGAAAAGCUACGGGGAACUGCAAGCAAGUAUUGAUCCGUAGAUGUCCGAAUGGGGAAACCCACCUGCCGUCAUGGGCAGGUAUCCGAAAGGAAGGGAACCCGGGGAACUGAAACAUCUAAGUACCCGGAGGAAGAGAAAUCAAACGAGAUGCCCACAGUAGCGGCGAGCGAAGAGGGCAGAGGGCAAACCGGGGAGCUACGGCUCUUCGGGGUUGAGGACUGCAUUUAGUCUUAAUGGUCUAUCCGAACUACCUGGAAAGGUAGGCAACACAGUGUAAAAGCCACGUAGGUUAAAGACCAGAGAGAUGAGCAGUAUCCAGAGUACCACGAGGCACGAGGAAUCUUGUGGGAAGCCGGGGGGACCACCCUCCAACCCUAAACACUGAAUGGCGACCGAUAGCGCAUAGUACCGUGAGGGAAAGGUGAAAAGAACCCCGGGAGGGGAGUGAAAGAGAACCUGAAACCGUAUGUCUACAAGCAGUCGGAGCGAAAGCGACGGCGUGCCUAUUGAAGAAUGAACCAACGAGUUACGUGCACUAGCGAGGUUAAGUGGAAGACACGGAGCCGAAGCGAAAGCGAGUCUUAAGAGGGCGAAUAGUUAGUGUACGUAGACCCGAAACCGCAGUGAUCUACCCAUGUCCAGGUUGAAGCGCAGGUAAAAUUGCGUGGAGGACCGAACCUGUGAGCGUUGAAAAGCUUUAGGAUGAGAUGUGGGUAGAGGUGAAAUUCCAAUCGAACGCGGAGAUAGCUGGUUCUCCCCGAAAUAGCUUUAGGGCUAGCCUCAAGUAGUAAGUAUAGGCGGUAGAGCACUGAUCGGGCUAGGGGCCAUAAAGGUUACCGAACCCUGUCAAACUCCGAAUGGUUAUACUGUAGAGCUUGGGAGUCAGACUACGAGUGAUAAGAUCCGUGGUCAAAAGGGAAACAGCCCAGACCACCAGCUAAGGUCCCCAAUGUCGUACUAAGUGGAAAAGGAUGUGGGGUCUCUAAAACAACCAGGAUGUUGGCUUAGAAGCAGCCACCAUUUAAAGAGUGCGUAAUAGCUCACUGGUCGAGAGACCCUGCGCCGAAGAUUACCGGGGCUAAAGUACGAAACCGAAGCUGUGGCUACGACAUAUGUCGUGGGGUAGGGGAGCGUUCUGUGAGGGCUGAAGUCGUUCUGUAAGGAACGGUGGACUUCACAGAAGUGAGAAUGUUGGUAUGAGUAGCGAAAAGAAUGGUGAGAAUCCAUUCCACCGAAAGCAUAAGGAUUCCUGGGCAACGAUCGUCGUCCCAGGGUAAGUCGGGACCUAAUCCGAGGCAUGGAGCGUAGGAGAUGGACAACUGGCAGAUAUUCCAGUACCGGUAAUGAUUGUUUGAGCGAUGGAGUGACACAGGAGGGCAGGCAGGCAGGAGAUUGGUUGUUCCUGUACAAGCGUGUAGGAUGGGUUGUAGGCAAAUCCGCAACCUGUGAGUCUGAGGCGUGAUGUGGAGGUUCCGGAAACGGAACUGAAGCUGCUGACCCCACACUGUCGAGAAAAGCUUCUAGUUAGAGAAUUACCGCCCGUACCGUAAACCGACACAGGUAUGCGGGGAGAGAAUCCUAAGGUGCGCGGGAGAACCCUCGUUAAGGAACUCGGCAAAAUGUACCCGUAACUUCGGGAUAAGGGUAGCCGCUGUUGUGAAGUCUGAACAGACGGAGCAUGAGGCGGUCGCAGAGAAGAGGCCCAAGCGACUGUUUACCACAAACACAGGUGCCUGCUAAAGAGAAAUCUGACGUAUAGGUGCUGACACCUGCCCAGUGCCGGAAGGUUAAGGAAGGAUGUCCGGAGCAAUCCAAAGCAUUCGACCGAAGCCCCGGUGAACGGCGGCCGUAACUAUAACGGUCCUAAGGUAGCGAAAUUCCUUGUCGGGUAAG
Molecule: ribosomal RNA, 1960 nt
Filed under: human gut metagenome
Description: bacterial LSU rRNA
Rfam family: Bacterial large subunit ribosomal RNA
Source: RNAcentral